CGGAGAAGGAGCAUGAGAACCUUCUACCACAUCCAAGGAAGGCAGCAGGCGCGCAAAUUACCCAAUCCCGACACGGGGAGGUAGUGACAAUAUGUAACAAUAUACGGCUUUAUUGUCGUAUAAUUGGAAUGAGUACAAUUUAAAUCCCUUAACGAGGAACAAUUGGAGGGCGAGUCUGGUGCCAGCAGCCGCGGUAAUUCCAGCUCCAAUAGCGUAUAUUAAAGUUGUUGCAGUUAAAAAGCUCGUAGUUGGACCUUGGGCCUGGACAGGCGGUCCGCCUCACGGCGUGUACUGUCUUGCUGGGCCUUUCCUCUUGGUGAUCUGUGGUUUCGGCCGCAGGGAACCAGGACCUUUACUUUGAAAAAAUUAGAGUGUUCAAAGCAGGCUUUACGCCAGAAUAUAUUAGCAUGGAAUAAUAAAAUAGGACGUGCGGUUCUAUUUUGUUGGUUUUUGGGAUCGCCGUAAUGAUUAAUAGGGACAGUCGGGGGCAUUAGUACUCACAUGCUAGAGGUGAAAUUCUUGGAUUUUGUGAAGACUAACUUCUGCGAAAGCAUUUGCCAAGGAUGUUUUCAUUAAUCAAGAACGAAGGUUAGGGUAUCGAAAACGAUUAGAUAC
RNAcentral lists this ribosomal RNA (615 nucleotides) under uncultured organism. Its description in RNAcentral is "SSU rRNA". It matches the Rfam family "Eukaryotic small subunit ribosomal RNA", at positions 384 to 1015 of the family's 1831-position model. The record is from RNAcentral.